RNAcentral lists this ribosomal RNA (165 nucleotides) under uncultured bacterium. Its description in RNAcentral is "partial 16S rRNA". It matches the Rfam family "Bacterial small subunit ribosomal RNA", at positions 355 to 511 of the family's 1533-position model. The record is from RNAcentral.
UAGAGAAUCUUCGGCAAUGGGGGCAACCCUGACCGAGCAACGCCGCGUGAGUGAAGAAGGUUUUCGGAUCGUAAAGCUCUGUUGUAAGAGAAGAACGUGUGUGAGAGUGGAAAGUUCACACAGUGACGGUAACUUACCAGAAAGGGACGGCUAACUACGCGCCAG